GAUCCUGGCUCAGGAUGAACGCUAGCGGCAGGCCUAACACAUGCAAGUCGAGGGGCAGCGGGAAUUGAGCUUGCUCAAUUUGCCGGCGACCGGCGCACGGGUGCGUAACGCGUAUGUAACCUACCUUGAACUGGGGAAUAACACUGAGAAAUCGGUACUAAUACCCCAUAAUACACUGGAAGGCAUCUUUUGGUGUUGAAAGCUCCGGCGGUUCAAGAUGGACAUGCGUUGUAUUAGUUAGUUGG
Molecule: ribosomal RNA, 245 nt
Filed under: uncultured bacterium
Lineage: Bacteria
Description: partial 16S ribosomal RNA
Rfam family: Bacterial small subunit ribosomal RNA
Source: RNAcentral